Molecule: ribosomal RNA, 495 nt
Filed under: uncultured bacterium
Lineage: Bacteria
Description: partial 16S ribosomal RNA
Rfam family: Bacterial small subunit ribosomal RNA
Source: RNAcentral
GACGAACGCUGGCGGCGUGCCUAAUACAUGCAAGUAGGACGCUGAAGGAGGAGCUUGCUCUUCUGGAUGAGUUGCGAACGGGUGAGUAACGCGUAGGUAACCUGCCUGGUAGCGGGGGAUAACUAUUGGAAACGAUAGCUAAUACCGCAUAACAGUAGAUGUUGCAUGACAUUUACUUAAAAGGUGCAAUUGCAUCACUACCAGAUGGACCUGCGUUGUAUUAGCUAGUUGGUGGGGUAACGGCUCACCAAGGCGACGAUACAUAGCCGACCUGAGAGGGUGAUCGGCCACACUGGGACUGAGACACGGCCCAGACUCCUACGGGAGGCAGCAGUAGGGAAUCUUCGGCAAUGGACGGAAGUCUGACCGAGCAACGCCGCGUGAGUGAAGAAGGUUUUCGGAUCGUAAAGCUCUGUUGUAAGAGAAGAACGAGUGUGAGAGUGGAAAGUUCACACUGUGACGGUAUCUUACCAGAAAGGGACGGCUAACUACGUG